Ricinus communis (castor bean) is the source of this 861-nucleotide long non-coding RNA. RefSeq lists it as uncharacterized. The transcript is spliced from 2 exons. The record is from RefSeq and is a predicted model, not a curated record. Lineage: Eukaryota; Viridiplantae; Streptophyta; Magnoliopsida; Malpighiales; Euphorbiaceae.
ACUCCAAUGAGCCUAAAUUGAAAAUAAAGAAAAACAAUUUUUUUUUUUGUUUUUUCCAAAGAUUUCAAUUCAUUAUUUAUUGAGAAGAUAGCCACAAUUUGUUUUUUACUUGGCCGCAUCUUCGAUGCACAAAAUUUGAUUCGAGUGAGUUUUAUAUCAUUUUUGUUAAAAUUUUAUACAUAAUUUAAAAAUAUAUUCCCUUAUUCGUUGUUUAAAAGUUUAUUUUUUAAUAAAACCCUUUCAAUAUAAAAGUUAACAAAUUUUAAUCGAUAGAGUAAAGUCAUUCAUUCUUUUUUUCGUCCUGGUGCAAUCACUUAUUAAUAAAUUAAUAUUAAUAAUUUAUUAAUGAAUGCUAGGUGGGUAAGAACUGAAAUAAAAAAUGAUGGAAUGUUUAAUAGUUUUCUUAAAAAGCAGAUGCUACAAACUCAGUUUCAGUUGGUGAAAGUGUUACUAUUUGCUGCUUUUUCGAAGACCAUGAUAUUGCACAUGAAUUCAGCAUGAAAACAUGGCCAGAAGUGCUAUUGCGAUCAUCUAUGUCACCUGCAUAAUCACUAUCUGUAUAGCCAACAAGUUGAGUGGAUGACUGCUCUUGAAUCUCAACUUGAGGUGAUGGCUGCUCUUGUAUUGGAGGUGGAGGUGGAGUUGAUGACCGAUCUACUUCUUUCUCCCCUUCUAGAAUCUCAGCAAUAUCAAGUAUUGGAUUUCAAACUGAAUUGCCAUCAGUUCAAUUCCAUUUGGAAUCUUCAAUAAAAACUAUAUCUCUACUUAUCACUACCUUUUUUGUCAUGGGAUUAAAUGAUUUGUAAGUUUUCAGAGUUUCACUUACUCCAAGAAAUAUACAUUUCUCACUCUUGUCAUCAA